AGAAGAUCAGAAAUGAUGUAGAAGGGGAAGUCAAAUAAGUUUGCCUUCAUGUAAACUCUUUUUCUUCUCUUUCCAUUUCAGGAUGGUUUUAGUUCUUCUCCAGAGAAAGGCAUCCUGAUAAAAGGAUAUGGGCCAGCCUUUAAUUGAUUUCUCAGCUGGACAUUGGAAAUAGCUUUUGAUGGUCCUGGGCUUCUUUCAUUUGACCCAGGAGCAUUGAUCUAGAGUUCUAAAAGCAAGACUAAAAAUAUGCCUUCAUGAAAACGUGCCUACAAAAGGUGACCCUUCUUGUUUUGGCUUUAAGGGUGUGGCACAGUUGUUAUGUUGAUGCAAAAGUGAAAUCCUCAUGGAAAAGUACCGUUUCUGUAGAUU
RNAcentral lists this long non-coding RNA (369 nucleotides) under Crocodylus porosus (Australian saltwater crocodile). RNAcentral describes it as "lncRNA (ENSCPRG00005009588.1)". Lineage: Eukaryota; Metazoa; Chordata; Crocodylia; Crocodylidae. The record is from RNAcentral.